Molecule: non-coding RNA, 270 nt
Organism: Vicia faba (fava bean)
Lineage: Eukaryota; Viridiplantae; Streptophyta; Magnoliopsida; Fabales; Fabaceae
Source: the annotation of a GenBank genome assembly
AUGACAGAAACUCACAGUUUGAAGGAGCAUCAAACAGAUUCAACCAUUGUUAGAAAGCAGGAAACUCACAAAUUUAAGGAUCAGAAAACACAACAAAAUCUUCAAUUCAUCGUGCAACAUUCUACAAUUGAUGCCACAGUGCUAAAUAAUACGCAGGACAUGGACUUUAAGACAAACAUUACUAACAAACUUAACAACAAACAACAUGGACAAAACAACUCUCUCAUACAGAAAACUCAAUCACAAUUGGAGGUCAACAAAGUUCAGUAG